This 402-nucleotide ribosomal RNA is filed under the name uncultured bacterium. RNAcentral's name for it is "bacterial SSU rRNA". It matches the Rfam family "Bacterial small subunit ribosomal RNA", at positions 28 to 430 of the family's 1533-position model. The record is from RNAcentral.
GACGAACGCUGGCGGCGUGCUUAACACAUGCAAGUCGAGCGGUAAGGCCCUUUCGGGGUACGACGAGCGGCGAACGGGUGAGUAACACGUGGGUGACCUCGCCCUCCAGCUCUGGGAGUAAGCCUCGGGAAACCGGGUACUAAUACCGGAUAUGACUCCAUGACGCAUGUUGUGGGGUGGAAAGCCCUGUGCGGCUGAGGAUGGGCCCGCGGCCUAUCAGCUUGUUGGUGGGGUGAUGGCCUACCAAGGCGACGACGGGUAGCCGGCCUGAGAGGGCGACCGGCCACACUGGGACUGAGACACGGCCCAGACUCCUACGGGAGGCAGCAGUGGGGAAUCUUGCGCAAUGGGCGAAAGCCUGACGCAGCGACGCCGCGUGAGGGAUGACGGCCUGGUGUAACU